Daphnia pulicaria is the source of this 1470-nucleotide long non-coding RNA. RefSeq lists it as uncharacterized. NCBI's taxonomy places the organism in Eukaryota, Metazoa, Arthropoda, Branchiopoda, Diplostraca, Daphniidae. The record is from RefSeq and is a predicted model, not a curated record. The transcript has 7 exons.
UGAGUUAAGAAAAAAGAAACGGCUUCAAAAUGGUGGCUGACUGGUUGUCGUUGAUAUUUAUACUUUCUCGUCGUAAUUUCCAUUUUUUUCCCCUUAUUUUGCUUUGUCGAAGGAAAUGGCAGUCUGGAAGAAAUUGAAGAUGGGGAAUCGAAUGCAUACCGUCCAUCAUACGAAAGGCGUAAAUCACCAGCAGAUCUGGAAACGUAAAGGUGAAUGAAUUUCGUCAUUACUGGUGCAAGCAUCAGACGAUCAGAGCCUGAUAAAACGACUGUACACACUUCCCAUUCCUGCCGGGACAUUUCGUCAAAUUCUUUCAAGAGGUUAGGUGAGAACGACACGUGUUGCAACAUUAUCAAGUAGGUCUACAAUUGCCCCAAGGCUUAAGUUGAGAGGUAAGGGUGAGAAAAAGUCGUAUAAAAGGAGAGAGAAAAGGCCACAGAGAUCAGUCGUGUGACCAUCUCUGACACGGCAACAACUACAGGGUCUCCAACUGCCUGCUUCAUAGCAUAUCAGUUCGCAAUCAUGGUUAACUAUGGCGCCGUUCUCCUUUUGGGUGUUGGAUCGUUGAUUGCCGUGGUGACCACUGGUUUACUGAUGUCUCCUGCGCAUGUUGAUAACGAGCCUCAGCAGCGAAAGAAUACUACAUCACGCCGCCUCCUUACUAAUCAACAACGUUAACAUCUAGUUACUGAACGAAGGCCUCCACACCAAUGCUCCUGAGUAUUAAACACCUUAUCGCUGCUCCAUCUUAGGAAACAUGGUCAACUGUGGAUCGUGCCUCUGUUGGGUGUUGGAUCGUUGAUGGCUGGGGCGACCACGGGAGUACCGAUGUCUUUUGGGUAUGUUGGAUACCAAACAGCAACGCCGCCACCUUACUACACAACUAAGUCAACAUACGUAACAUCUACUUAAUACACCGAGGCUCCCAAGUACUACUAUUCAAGCUACUACCAAACUGAGGCUACUGUUUACUACACCAAGGCAACCGAGUAUUACGCUAAAACCACAUGUUAACUAUGGCGUCGUUCUGCUGUUGAUUGUUGUAUCCUUGAUGGUUGUAUCCUUGAUGGUUGGGUCGACAACGGGUGUACCGAUGUCUCGUGGGUAUGGCGGAUAACAACCCGCAACGCCGCCGUCUUACAGCACGACAAAAAAUACGCAAGAACCGAAUACUAAACCGCCAAGGCCCCAGAGUAGUACACAACAACUUAUGAUGUCCUGAACUACUACACCAAAGCCCCAAAAAAUAACUGUCCGAUUUACACCACGAGGAGAGCGGAGUACUACACCACGAGGGGAGCGGAGUACUACACCAUAAACCACGCAACUUGCUACAUGGAGGUUCCUAAAUGCUAGAGCCGAAAUUUCCAUUUGAUUUUAUUAACAUUUGUCGGUUGUCUUCAUGGUCAUUCGUCACUGGGAACUAAUUGUUGAACCCAAAUGAGAAAAUAAAAAUUCUAAUGCGGGUAA